GUGGCUGUGGCUCAGCAGUAGAGCGCUCGCCUAGCACAUGUGAGGCCCUGGGUUCAAUCCUCAGCACCACA
RNAcentral lists this transfer RNA (71 nucleotides) under Ictidomys tridecemlineatus (thirteen-lined ground squirrel). RNAcentral describes it as "Spermophilus tridecemlineatus (thirteen-lined ground squirrel) tRNA". It matches the Rfam family "tRNA". From Rfam's summary of the family: Transfer RNA (tRNA) molecules are approximately 80 nucleotides in length. Their secondary structure includes four short double-helical elements and three loops (D, anti-codon, and T loops). Lineage: Eukaryota; Metazoa; Chordata; Mammalia; Rodentia; Sciuridae. The record is from Rfam by way of RNAcentral.